GAAAUUUCAUUCGCACUAGCGAUAGCUAGUUUCUCUGGAAAGAUAUAAAAGUGUCGACGAGAAAGUAAUUAUAAGAUAGUAAUUAUUUUAUAAAAUAAUUCUCAGUUAAUUUUUUUGAGGAUAAGCUCGAAAAAUAGUUAAGAUAAAUGUUUUAAGGUUUGAGUUGUUAUGUGAGCUUAAGAUUGGCUAUCAUAAGAGUUUGUUACAAACCAGCGAUUUUACCGUAUAAAAUAAAUAUAUUUUAUUCUGUUUUUUUACAGAGAUAAAGGCACUAAUUAAAAAAGGCGUUAUACCUAUGCUAGGAUGAGUAUUAAAACUUUAUAUAUGGAUCGGAAAAGUCCUAAUUAUAUUCCGGCUAAAUAAUUAUUAAUUAAGCCAAAUUGAAUAGAAGGAACUCGGCAAAUUUAAUUGCUUCGCCUGUUUAGCAAAAACAUGGCUCUUUGCAUUUAUUUUAUAAGGAGUCAAGCCUGCCCAGUGAAAAAUUUUUAACGGCCGCGGUACUCUGACCGUGCAAAGGUAGCAUAAUCAUUU
Molecule: ribosomal RNA, 531 nt
Filed under: Elimia proxima
Lineage: Eukaryota; Metazoa; Mollusca; Gastropoda; Pleuroceridae
Description: partial 16S ribosomal RNA
Source: RNAcentral